GGACAAGUUCUAAGCAGACGCCCUUGGAGGGGGCCCCCCCACCCCCACAGGCCGACUGUGGGUGCCCCCCCCGGGGGGGUAGUGGAAGAGGAACCACACCUGCGUACCUUCUUAAACUGGACAGUGGGUGUCGAGCAAGUAUUGACCCGGGGAUUUGAUUCUGGGCUUCCCAGGCAAUGUUCAGAUUCAGGUUCUCGCUGGGAAAAGAAAAAAAGAACUUGGCAACCGAGAUGCAAACAAAUCCGUCUGAUUCAGGAGUGCCAGCGACAGCCAGUGCUUAUAAAUAACGGUGCUGUGCUGGCCCCAGCCCCAGAGGAGCCAGUGCGGACAGCCCGUCCCACCUGGGCCUCUGUUGUCACCCGGCAGAGGAGGAGGGAGCGAUGGGAGGUGGCUCGGGGGACUUUCAUGGGUGCACGUGCUCUGGCCGGACAGGUGGACGGGCUCCCAGGAGGCCAGCGUGGGAAAGGCCCUACCCGUGCCCUGCCAAGCUGUCCACAUCCUGCCAUCACUCCUGCUUCCAGGCAUCAACAUGAAGCCACUGGCCGAACUGCAUGUCACCAUCCAGGUGAGACUCAGCAUCUCCCUGUUCCAGAAGAAGAGGCUCUCAGGGACCCCUGACAUCCCGUGCCCAGCCUGCCUAAGCAUCCUUCUCCUGACUAGAGUCCUUAGGGAUCCUUAGGGAUUGGCAAGGGCAGGAAGAGUUGCCAAGAGAGAGAACCUUCUGGGCGGGGCAGUAGGAGACCCCCGGGACCACUUCCAGACCUGGCCACUGAGGUUUGGGUUUAACCCUUUGAGGCCCCCUCCCCCCAACCCCUCCCUCUAGGCCCUCAGGUCCCUGCCAUGCUGGCUGGGGCACUGAAUGGAAGCUCUCAGGGACAGGCCAGAUCAGGCCAGAGGCAAUAGGAGUUAGGGCCCCAGUGCUUGAGUAUUAGGUGGCCAAGGGCAGGAGCUGGGGGCGCUGACCUCACGCCAGGUCCCUGCUGGCCACGACCGGCAUAGCCUCCCACUGCAUCUCCCUCCCACGUGGGUGAAAUGGGGAAACCAUGUCCACUGCGCAGGUUAUUCCAAGGAUUGGACGGGGUAACUAUUAAUGCUUAGCUUGCAUAGCCUCUGCCACAUGGUAAACGCUGCUUUUCUUUGUUUGACCACGCCCAUGGCAAGCAGAAGUUCCUGGGCCAGAGAUUGAACCCUUAUCACAGCAGUGACAAUACCAGAUCCUUAACCUGCUAGGCCAUCAGGGAAUUCUGCCCCCCCCCCGGCCCCCGCGCCUUUAUUGGGCUGCAGCGAGCAACAGCUUGAUGUGGAAUCUCAUUUCUCAGACCCAGGACUGAACUUGGGCCGCAGCGGCAAAAGCACCAAACCCUAACCACUAGACCACCAGGGAACUCCCCAUGUUGUUGCUUUAUUUAUUGAUUUAUAUAUUUAUUUAUUUAUUUAUUUGCCUUUUUAGGGCCAUAGACAAGGCAUAUGGAGGUUCCCAGGCUAGGGGUUGAAUCGGAGCUACAGCUGCUGGCCUACACCACAGCCACGCCAGUUCCCAGCCAACUCUACAACAUACACCACUGCUCACAGCAAUGCCGGACCCUUAACCCACUGAGCGAGGCCAGGGAUUGAACCCAUGUCCUCUAGUCAGUUUCAUUAUUGCCGAGCCAUGAUGGGAACUCCUGGAUUUAUUUUAAAAUAUUUUACAGGAGUUCUCUGGGGGCACAGCAGGUUAAAAGUCCAGCACUGUCACUGAAGCAUCUUGGGUUGUUGCUCUGGGGCGGGUUUGAUCCUUGGCUUGGGAACUUCCACAUGCCGCUGAGCAAAAAAAAUAAAAUAAAAUAAAAUAUAAAACA
RNAcentral lists this long non-coding RNA (1838 nucleotides) under Sus scrofa (pig). RNAcentral's name for it is "lncRNA (ENSSSCG00035059918.1)". Lineage: Eukaryota; Metazoa; Chordata; Mammalia; Artiodactyla; Suidae. The record is from RNAcentral.